UACGUAGGGGGCGAGCGUUGUCCGGAAUUAUUGGGCGUAAAGAGCUCGUAGGCGGCUUGGCAAGUCGGAUGUGAAAACUCCAGGCUCAACCUGGAGCCGCCAUUCGAUACUGCUUGGCUUGAGUUCGGGAGAGGAUGUGGGAAUUCCUGGUGUAGCGGUGAAAUGCGUAGAUAUCAGGAGGAACACCGGUGGCGAAGGCGCACAUCUGGCCCGAUACUGACGCUGACAGCGCGAAAGCUAGGGGAGCAAACGGG
RNAcentral lists this ribosomal RNA (254 nucleotides) under uncultured bacterium. RNAcentral describes it as "partial 16S ribosomal RNA". It matches the Rfam family "Bacterial small subunit ribosomal RNA", at positions 524 to 776 of the family's 1533-position model. The record is from RNAcentral.